This 498-nucleotide ribosomal RNA is filed under the name uncultured bacterium. RNAcentral's name for it is "partial 16S ribosomal RNA". It matches the Rfam family "Bacterial small subunit ribosomal RNA", at positions 899 to 1397 of the family's 1533-position model. The record is from RNAcentral.
ACUCAAAUGAAUAGACGGGGGCCCGCACAAGCGGUGGAGCAUGUGGUUUAAUUCGAUGCAACGCGAAGAACCUUACCUACACUUGACAUCCUGCGAAUCUAGCGGAGAGGCUGGAGUGCCGAAAGGAACGCAGAGACAGGUGCUGCAUGGCUGUCGUCAGCUCGUGUUGUGAGAUGUUGGGUUAAGUCCCGUAACGAGCGCAACCCUUGUCCUUAGUUGCCAGCAAUUAGAUGGGGACUCUAAGGAGACUGCCGGUGAAGAACCGGAGGAAGGCGGGGACGACGUCAAGUCAUCAUGGCCUUUAUGUGUAGGGCUACACACGUGCUACAAUGGGGCGUACAGAGGGUCGCGAACCUGCGAAGGGGAGCCAAUCUCAAAAAGCGUCUCGUAGUCCGGAUUGGAGUCUGCAACUCGACUCCAUGAAGUUGGAAUCGCUAGUAAUCGCGAAUCAGCGACGUCGCGGUGAAUACGUUCCCGGGCCUUGCACACACCGCCCGU